CCUACGGGGGGCUGCAGUGGGGAAUAUUGGACAAUGGGCGAAAGCCUGAUCCAGCCAUGCCGCGUGUGUGAAGAAGGCCUUCGGGUUGUAAAGCACUUUCAGUGGGGAAGAAAGCCUUGGGGCUAAUACCCUCGAGGAAGGACAUCACCCACAGAAGAAGCACCGGCUAACUCCGUGCCAGCAGCCGCGGUAAUACGGAGGGGUGCGAGCGUUAAUCGGAAUUACUGGGCGUAAAGCGCGCGUAGGCGGUCUGAUAAGCCGGUUGUGAAAGCCCCGGGCUCAACCUGGGAACGGCAUCCGGAACUGUCAGGCUAGAGUGCAGGAGAGGAAGGUAGAAUUCCCGGUGUAGCGGUGAAAUGCGUAGAGAUCGGGAGGAAUACCAGUGGCGAAGGCGGCCUUCUGGACUGACACUGACGCUGAGGUGCGAAAGCGUGGGUAGCAAACAGGAUUAGAUACCCGAGUAGUC
Molecule: ribosomal RNA, 466 nt
Filed under: Vreelandella stevensii
Lineage: Bacteria; Pseudomonadati; Pseudomonadota; Gammaproteobacteria; Oceanospirillales; Halomonadaceae
Description: partial 16S ribosomal RNA
Rfam family: Bacterial small subunit ribosomal RNA
Source: RNAcentral